Non-coding RNA from Pocillopora verrucosa, 248 nucleotides. Lineage: Eukaryota; Metazoa; Cnidaria; Anthozoa; Scleractinia; Pocilloporidae. The record is from RefSeq and is a predicted model, not a curated record.
CUAUCGAGAAGGCAAAGGCUUUCUGGAGGUGUAUAGACCCUCCUCCGGAACAGAAGUCUACAUUAGCCGUCAGUGGAAUAAACCACCGUCUAAAAACGGCAUCUCAAGUUGGAGAAGGCAAGAGAUUAGUUGGUAUCUAUCAGACACACAACUUCCCUUGAAAUAGAAGGUGAUCCAAGACUUAAAACACAUUUGGAGGAUUCCCAGAAAAGGAAAGAACAGGAACAAGCUGACUAUGUGCAAAAAAU